RNAcentral lists this ribosomal RNA (200 nucleotides) under uncultured bacterium. RNAcentral's name for it is "partial 16S ribosomal RNA". It matches the Rfam family "Bacterial small subunit ribosomal RNA", at positions 8 to 219 of the family's 1533-position model. The record is from RNAcentral.
AGAGUUUGAUCCUGGCUCAGGACGAACGCUGGCGGUGUGCCUCACACAUGCAAGUCGAACGAGGUAGCAAUACCUAGUGGCGGACGGGUGAGUAACGCGUGGGAAUCUGCCUUUAGAUGGGGGAUAGCUAGCCGAAAGGCUAAUUAAUACCGCAUAUGUGCAUAACUCGACAGGGUUGUGCAUGAAAGGAGUAAUCCGUC